Nicotiana tabacum (common tobacco) is the source of this 1826-nucleotide non-coding RNA. The record is from RefSeq and is a predicted model, not a curated record. Lineage: Eukaryota; Viridiplantae; Streptophyta; Magnoliopsida; Solanales; Solanaceae.
AAGUGAAAUGUCAGGCGCCAUCAUGGUCCCGUCGGUGAGAAAUUUCGGAUCGUGACAAUAGAACAAAGACAAUAGCAAAGGAAAUGAUAGAAGGUCUCUACAAAGAACAAUAUGCAAAAUUAGAGGACUAUUGUGCAGAACUCAAGAGAAAGAAUCCAGGAUCAAUUGUAUUGUUAGAAACAACACCUCAUGAAGAGGAUGGCAGACCUGUUUUUGAAAAAAUGUACAUAUGUCUUGAGCCCUGCAGAAGAGGUUGGAUGGAAGGUUGUAGGCCACUCAUUAGGAUAGACGGUUUCUUUCUUUAAGGACCAUAUGGAGGUCAACUUUUGACAGUAAUUGGGAUAGAUGCUGAUAAUGGUAUAUUUCCUAUAGCCUACGCUGUAGUUGAUAUUGAAAAUAAGCAUAACUAGAAGUGAUUUUUAAAUUUGUUGGUGGAUGACUUGCAAAUUAGAAAUCAUGAUAACUUAUGUCUCAUUACAGACAAACAAAAGGUAAGAUUUUUUAUCCACAUAUAAUACCAAAUUCUAAUUGCUUUCAAUUAUCAAAAUUAGCCAUGUUUAUUAUUCUACUCACUUUUGUAGGGUUUGGAGGGAGCUAUUUAUGAGACAGUUCUCCAAGUUGAACAUAGGCUUUGUGUAAGACAUUUGUAUAAUAAUUUCAAGAAAGAGCACAAAGGUUUAUCGUUGAAGAUAAGAGUUUGGAAAGCUGCAAGGGCAACUCAUGUAAGUAAGUAUAGAUAUGAGAUGGAUAUGCUGGAAAAGGAGGACAAAGAAGUUAGAAAUUAGUUCAACGAUAGACCACCCAAAUUCUGGAGCAAGUCACAUUUUAGAACAACAACAAAGUGUGAUAUGCUUUUGAAUAAUCUUUGUGAGGCAUCAAUGGGACAAAACCCAUUUUGAGGGCAAGGGAGAAACCUAUACUUGGACUACUUGAAGGAAUUAGAAUAUACUUGAUGAAGAAACUGAACCAAAAGAGGGAAGACCUGCUCAAAUACCAAGGAAAUUUAUGCCCUCGAAUCCGAAAACUAGUAAAAAAAGUGAAGGAAGACUCGGCUACAUCAAUUCCUACUUGGGCUGAAAAAUUUUCAUUUCAAGUAAAGACCAUGUAUGGUGAACAAUUUAGUGUUGACUUGAGUGGAAGAAUCUAUUCAUGUAGGGGAUGGGACCUUACAGGAAUCUCAUGCUCACAUGCAAUGAGCUGCAUAUUCCAUAUAAGAGAGAAUCCAAAAAAUUUCAUACAUGAUUGUUACAAGAAGACUGCUCAAAUGAGGAUUUAUGAGCCAGUCAUUGCUCCAAUGGAUGGACCUGAUAUGUGGGAACCUACUGAUCUACUUGAUGUUAACCCUCCUAACUAUGAGCCGAAGACAAGUAAGUUGAACAAAAAUAGAAGAAAAGAGCCCGAUGAAAUUGAAGCCUCCGAGAGAAAAGUAGUUGAGAUGAAAAAACAGAGAAGAGAGAAAAAGAAAAAAUAAUCUACAACAAGUGAAAUGCAUGAUGUUACCAAAUUGAGUAAGAAAGGGAAGUUAGGGAGGUGUAGCAAGUUCUUGCAAACUGGUCACAACAAAAUAACUUGCAACAAGAGUAGCGAUUCCUCGAAUUCAACAACUCUACCUCAAGCUACUCAAACAACUCAAGAUUGGUGCCAAAAUGCUACAAGUCAAUCCCCACCCAAGUAAGCAAAUCAAUUUUGAGUCCACUUAUUGGACUGGACAUAUAAAUGAACCUUCCAAACUCAAUCUAAGAAGGCCAAUGGAGGAUGAUUCAUCUCAUAGACCUGCGCGAGCUCAAGUUGGUGGCAUUGUGUUAAAUGCUGAGAAGUAUAUGUAG